Molecule: transfer RNA, 76 nt
Filed under: Segatella copri
Lineage: Bacteria; Pseudomonadati; Bacteroidota; Bacteroidia; Bacteroidales; Prevotellaceae
Description: Prevotella copri tRNA-Leu
Rfam family: tRNA
About the family: Transfer RNA (tRNA) molecules are approximately 80 nucleotides in length. Their secondary structure includes four short double-helical elements and three loops (D, anti-codon, and T loops).
Source: RNAcentral
UGCUGCUUAGUUCAAUGGUAGAACGUCCGCCCAAAUCGGAAAAAGGUUGUGGGUUCGACCCCCACAGCAGCAACUA